AGACAGUCUGCGCCUAUCGCGGGGCAUGUCCCUAUCCACGAAAGGAGCAGGAUUCCAUUUUCUACGGAGCGAAGAUUGUUGUGCAGCGGAUAAGAGCUCGCUGACUCCUGCCCAUGAGUUGUCCGAGUGUCAGACCUCUGCGACAUGUGUGAUGCCGACUGUGCGAUGGGUUUCCGCCAAGACACUCGGCGAAAGAAUAGAAAGCUAACGAACAG
This 215-nucleotide long non-coding RNA is filed under the name Malassezia sympodialis ATCC 42132. Lineage: Eukaryota; Fungi; Basidiomycota; Malasseziomycetes; Malasseziales; Malasseziaceae. The record is from RNAcentral.